AGCAGCCGCGGUAAUUCCAGCUCCAAUAGCGUAUAUUAAAGUUGUUGCAGUUAAAAAGCUCGUAGUUGAAUUUCGGGAUCAAUAUGUUGGUCGUGCCUUGGUACGUACUGGCAUUAUUGGUUUUUACCUUCUGAAGAACCUCGAUGUCAUUAAUUUGGUGUCUUGGGGAAUCAGGACUGUUACUUUGAAAAAAUUAGAGUGUUUAAAGCAGGCUCGCGCUUGAAUACAUUAGCAUGGAAUAAUGAAAUAGGACGUUUGAUUCUAUUUUGUUGGUUUCUAGGAUUGACGUAAUGAUUAAUAGGGAUAGUUGGGGGCAUUAGUAUUCAAUUGUCAGAGGUGAAAUUCUUGGAUUUAUUGAAGACUAACUACUGCGAAAGCAUUUGCCAAGGAUGUUUUCAUUAAUCAAGAACGAAAGUUAGGGGAUCGAAGACGAUCAGAUACCGUCGUAGUCUUAACCAUAAACUAUGCCGACUAGGGAUCGGAUGAUGUUAAUUUUUUAAUGACUCAUUCGGCGCCUUAC
Molecule: ribosomal RNA, 520 nt
Filed under: uncultured Glomus
Lineage: Eukaryota; Fungi; Glomeromycota; Glomeromycetes; Glomerales; Glomeraceae
Description: SSU rRNA
Rfam family: Eukaryotic small subunit ribosomal RNA
Source: RNAcentral